AGUGAACGCUGGCGGCAGGCCUAACACAUGCAAGUCGAACGGCAGCACAAGAGAGCUUGCUCUCUGGGUGGCGAGUGGCGGACGGGUGAGGAAUGCAUCGGAAUCUGCCCAUUUGUGGGGGAUAACCUCGGGAAACCGGGACUAAUACCGCAUACGACCUACGGGUGAAAGCAGGGGAUCUUAGGACCUUGCGCAGAUGGAUGAGCCGAUGCCGGAUUAGCUAGUUGGAGGGGUGAAGGCCCACCAAGGCGACGAUCCGUAGCUGGUCUGAGAGGUGGAUCAGCCAACCUGGGACUGGGACACGGCCCAGACCCCUUCGGGAGGCAGCAAGGGGGAAUAUUGGACAAUGGGCGCAAGCCUUAUCCAGCCAUGCCGCGUGGGUGAAGAAGGCCUUCGGGUUGGAAAGCACUUUUGUUGGGAAAGAAAAGCAGCCGGUUAAUACCCGGUUGUCAUGACGGUUCCCAAAGAAUAAGCACCGGCUAACUUCGUGC
This 491-nucleotide ribosomal RNA is filed under the name uncultured bacterium. Its description in RNAcentral is "partial 16S ribosomal RNA". It matches the Rfam family "Bacterial small subunit ribosomal RNA", at positions 29 to 508 of the family's 1533-position model. The record is from RNAcentral.